RNAcentral lists this ribosomal RNA (274 nucleotides) under Nitrospina sp. Its description in RNAcentral is "partial 23S ribosomal RNA". It matches the Rfam family "Bacterial large subunit ribosomal RNA", at positions 2660 to 2925 of the family's 2925-position model. Lineage: Bacteria; Pseudomonadati; Nitrospinota; Nitrospinia; Nitrospinales; Nitrospinaceae. The record is from RNAcentral.
AUUUGAAGGGAGCUGUUCCUAGUACGAGAGGACCGGAAUGGACAAACCUCUAGUGUGCUGGUUGUGAUGCCAAUUGCAUUGCCAGGUAGCUAUGUUUGGAAAGGAUAACCGCUGAAAGCAUCUAAGCGGGAAGCCAACCCUGAAACAAGAUAUCUCUUCUCCCCUCGGGGAGACUGAAGACUCCUUGAAGAUUACAAGGUUGAUAGGCCAGAUGUGUAAGCACAGCAAUGUGUUCAGCUAACUGGUACUAAUAAGUCGUGAGGCUUGACCUUAU